ACGAAAGAAAAUUUGGAUCAGGUGGUGGUGGCAUUGGCCCAUGUGGCUAAUAUGGUGGUGGUCGUUGCCCAUGGUUAAAGGGAGGCCAAUAUGGAUAAUUUAUUGGUGGCCCAGGAGGACCUGGUGGUCCAGGUGGUCCUGGUGCACUAGGUGGUCCUGGUGGU
This is a long non-coding RNA of Hippocampus comes (tiger tail seahorse), 164 nucleotides long. RefSeq lists it as uncharacterized. The transcript has 2 exons. Lineage: Eukaryota; Metazoa; Chordata; Actinopteri; Syngnathiformes; Syngnathidae. The record is from RefSeq and is a predicted model, not a curated record.